This 266-nucleotide long non-coding RNA is filed under the name Carica papaya (papaya). Its description in RNAcentral is "long non-coding RNA (CPAP_LNC012114)". Lineage: Eukaryota; Viridiplantae; Streptophyta; Magnoliopsida; Brassicales; Caricaceae. The record is from RNAcentral.
ACGGUUGAGAUUAAAAGGCAAAGGGUUAAAUACCCCCACCCACACCUGACCAAAAAAACCCUAGCUGCCAGUGCUCGCCGGAGAAGAAGAACCAGACGCCGGAGGAGCCGGCCGCCGCCACCCGCCGUCGCACCGGGGAAGUUUCUGACCGCCGAUCGAGGUAAAUUUUCUCCCCCUUGCUCGUUUUUCGACGUUGAGUCCGCCUAUGGCCAAACUGGAGCCAAACCACCGGCCAAACGGCUGAAAAACCCAGCCGAAACCCAGAG